This 72-nucleotide transfer RNA is filed under the name Marmota monax (woodchuck). It matches the Rfam family "tRNA". Rfam says of the family: Transfer RNA (tRNA) molecules are approximately 80 nucleotides in length. Their secondary structure includes four short double-helical elements and three loops (D, anti-codon, and T loops). The record is from Rfam by way of RNAcentral. Lineage: Eukaryota; Metazoa; Chordata; Mammalia; Rodentia; Sciuridae.
UGAGCUGUAGCUCAGUGGUAAAGUGCUUGCCUCCUGUGUAUGAGGCACUGGGUUCAAUCCUCAGCAUCACAU